RNAcentral lists this non-coding RNA (406 nucleotides) under uncultured fungus. RNAcentral also lists the same sequence under 1 other name. Lineage: Eukaryota; Fungi. The record is from RNAcentral.
AGAGUUAAAUAGUACGUGAAAUUGUUGAAAGGGAAACGUUUGACACCAGUCAUGCGGGUGGAAAAUCAGUCUCUUGUAGUGGGGAAGCAUUUUGGUUCAGACCGCAAGGCUGGCCAGGGUGUUCUCUCUAUUGCGAGUGAUGCACUUUUUCAUUUGCAGGCCAACAUCAGUUUCUUCUGCUGGACAAAACCCUAAGAGAAGGUAGCAGCUUAGGCUGUGUUAUAGCUCUGGGGCGAUACAGUGGAGGGGACUGAGGUUUUCGCAGCGUGUGCUCUCGGGCAAGGCAGAUUGGGUGCUAUGGGAUCGUUCGGCGUACAAUGCAUGCAUUUUGCGCUGUGUCUUUUUCAUACUCGCUUAACUCUGCUCUUCCACGCUUAGGAUGUUGGCAUAAUGGUUUUAAACGACC